Molecule: ribosomal RNA, 468 nt
Filed under: uncultured bacterium
Lineage: Bacteria
Description: partial 16S ribosomal RNA
Rfam family: Bacterial small subunit ribosomal RNA
Source: RNAcentral
GACGAACGCUGGCGGCGUGCUUAACACAUGCAAGUCGAACGGAAAGGCCCUGCUUUUGUGGGGUGCUCGAGUGGCGAACGGGUGAGUAACACGUGAGUAACCUGCCCUUGACUUUGGGAUAACUUCAGGAAACUGGGGCUAAUACCGGAUAGGAGCUCCUGCUGCAUGGUGGGGGUUGGAAAGUUUCGGCGGUUGGGUAUGGACUCGCGGCUUAUCAGCUUGUUGGUGGGGUAGUGGCUUACCAAGGCUUUGACGGGUAGCCGGCCUGAGAGGGUGACCGGCCACAUUGGGACUGAGAUACGGACCAGACUCCUACGGGAGGCAGCAGUGGGGAAUAUUGCACAAUGGGCGGAAGCCUGAUGCAGCAACGCCGCGUGCGGGAUGACGGCCUUCGGGUUGUAAACCGCUUUCGCCUGUGACGAAGCGUGAGUGACGGUAAUGGGUAAAGAAGCACCGGCUAACUACGUG